Molecule: long non-coding RNA, 5809 nt
Organism: Micropterus salmoides (largemouth bass)
Lineage: Eukaryota; Metazoa; Chordata; Actinopteri; Centrarchiformes; Centrarchidae
Exons: 3
Source: RefSeq, a predicted model, not a curated record
GGGGCAACCAGGGUUUGAACCCACGACCUUCUUGCUGCACCACCGCACCGCCAGCAGGAGCUUCAGUGUGGUACAUGCCUUAUUUUCACACUGACAUGGACAAGAUCAGGUUGGACAUGGACCUGGGACUCCACUGGGACAAGGUGCACCCAACAGUCAGCAGCUGAAAACACAGACUCUCACAAGCAAGUCCGGCUUUGACAGGACUCAGACCUCAACAAAUGUUGCCCCACGUAGCACUGCAGCCAUGUGCUGAAGCUGUGUCAACUGUGAUGGAUUUGGCUCGCCUCUGCGGAUGAUGACGUGAUAUAUUAGCCUACAUAAGAAGAAAGAACAACAAUAGGACCAAUGAUUCUGGAGACAAAUGAACAAAAUAACUGUCUAUUUCAAGUCUGACCAUUGUGUUAUCACAGGUGAGAUGAUACGAGACAAUGGGCUGUGAUCUAAUGAUAGUGUAAGUGUAAAAAUUACAAGUUGACGGAUGUUAUGUGCAGGACUAUUUCUUGACCAGGCACAGAAACUUCCUGGAGACUUGAUGUUACCGUGAGGCUGCUAGGAAUGCCAGAGUGUUAGUUAUUGAAAUUAAGAAUUAGUUGGAAUAAUUCUUUUAAGCAAUAGAAGUACCUUGGCUGACAAAUAAAAAAAGCACUACCUGCAGAAACCCAAAUCCUUUAGUAAUGCAACAUUUGUAACACUGUUCUCCGAGAAGUGAAGUGCAGAUUAGAAACACCAACGCAGGGAGAUAUCACUAAAGUCAGAAAGCAAGGAACUUAAAGGUUGCACUUUUAAUUUACAGAGAGAAACGUGACAGAAAGUAACUAAAGAACUUCAAGUGGUAGAUAAAACUUUGAGUUACUGAGGUAAACCACCUGCAGCAAAUGUUGCAAUAGCACAAAUACUCCCUAAUGACAACACCUACAGUAUUAGCCCAGUUCUUCUUUUGAAAUUGGGAGGGAAUUUUACUUUUACUUUCUAAAAAACACCUGUCCCGUAAAUGACCUACAUAAGUCAUGCCAGUGGUACUUUCUGUAAGAGUAAAGGUUUAUACUGACUUAGUGGGAGGGUGUAUUUUGAUAAAUGAGAAGCUGUGUAUAAUAACACUCAACUACAUCCUACUCAGUCAAAGGAGGAUUGCGUAGCACCGUGACCCAGCCAGGCGGAGAGGGCUGACACUUUGUGUGUGUUCAGUGAUCAGUUUAAUGGGGUAGAAACGGUGGCUAUGCCUGGAAUUCCUCUCAAUAUAGCCAUGACCUCCUCGGACGGGAGGAAUUACAAGAUUGUUGGAGAAGACGGACCUUUUUUGACACACUGGGCAGAUCCUGCGGUCAGACCUGCAGAUCAGCAACAUCACAAGCCCACAAAGUAAAAUACUCUGUGACUUUUAGAUGCUGCCCUCAACAAAUUUUCUGCACAUGCAGGCUUACAAAGUUUACAAAGACUCCCUGACUGACUCUAGUCCGACUGCCCCACAAAACAAAUACUGUAGAUUAGGGGGGAAGGAAAACACUUGCAUUUAGUUCUUUGCAUCAGGAUGUCCAUAAUUUAGUCCUCUUUGCCAGGAAUGGUUAAAUACUUGACCCGAGAGCACAACAGUACUUCAUAAACAAAUAUACUGCAUGAUUGCAUUGAAUUUCCAGCAUGCAUUGUCACAGUAGGAAUCAGGAAUACGCCUGGUAUUAAUCUACCACUUUAGCUAAAUGGGACCACAUGCAGACAAAAGUCAGAUAUGAUAUAUGAAAAAGUGUGCGCUCCCUUCGCACAGCUGACUUUUAAUUUACAGCCUACCAUCAGCUCUAAAAAGAUAAUGUGAAAGCCUUGUCAUGAAUCAGGCUGCACCAUGCACAGCUGUGUGGCCCGGGACAAACAUUCCUGCACGCAGUAAGUCACUUACAGAGAUGGUGGUAGAACACACACAAUGGAAAAGACAGCAUUAUUCAUCAUUCUAUUCACACUCAAGGGAAAUAUUUUAUGUUUUCACUGACUUUGGAGGUGACGUUGCCCCAAAGGGAAAAUAGACAGGGCGACUAAUGGGGCCAAUUUUUUCUCUAAUUAAUGGCGCACUGAGCCAAAGCGAAGGUCUGCUCACUGUCCACUCAGCACCAGGCUUCCCAAGUUAAUCGCUAUGUUUUAAUUAAAUGGACAAUGUGCUUCCUUGGAACCCAGAGCUAAUCUGAUCAACUGAAUGAAUAAUGAUGACAGGUAAUUCUAAUUAGAGCUGUACACUAAAUCUUGAUAUAUAUGUGUGUGUGUGCAUGUUCCAUGUUUUUAUAUCCCAGUGGGGCUUAAACCUGAAUGCUCACUAACCGAUGGGGACUUAGAGGGGAAAUAUUGAGGUCCCCAUAGGUAGAGACUGCUUUUUGAGGGUAGAGGGUCCUUAAGACAUGGUUUUAGGUUUCAGGGUAAGAUUAGGGAUAGGGUGAGGGUUAAGGUUAGGCACGUAGUUAUGAUUGUUAAGGUUAGGGUAAGGGGCUUUCCCCCUUUGUUGUGUCUGGUGACAGAGUUUAUGUCACUGCACCCAUUUACAAUGAGCCCCUCUUUUUUGUCACUUGGAUUAUGGGAAGCCUUUGUUGUGUUGUUUGUGUGUUUGUAUGUUUUCUCCACAAAGGGUGAUGAUGCUGCUUAGCAGUGGUGGAAAGAAAUGGUAAGAGACAGGAUACAAACCACAGUCUAUGGUGCAAAAAUUCAGACACUUUGUAUCCCUGAUAUACACCUACAUACACCUUCUUACAAGGUACUACAGCGUUAUAAAAGCAUUAUGACAUGACAUGCCACAGUUUUCGCUGCUUCUUUGCUUCAUGUUUUUGCACUAACUCAAGAGUUCACCUCUCUGGAAAAUGGUUACACUAUCAUUUUAAGCAUUUGAACAAACUGGUGAUGUCUUUUUGCAGUUGAGGACAGUCUACAGACAAGUGUACACAGAGCAGGACAGGAGUAUAAGACAGGACACACUGAAUUCCCAUCAACAGAAACCUGGAGUCGUUACUAGCUAUUGUAGUUUAAUCCUAUUCAGAAUGAAGAGGCUGUAUCACAGCCUUCAAUAAUGAAAAACUACUGGUGGUAAACGUCAGUUCGGGUUAACGUUUUUGUAUCCCUAAACAUAAAGGCAUCAGUUGAAACUGCCUCUCUAAUCACCACAGGGUGGCUGAUCAAAAUAGGGAUUUACAACCGACAUUAAAAUCAACAAAGGUUUCCUGGUUACCACAAGAACUUAGCCUUACAACCACUUUCUUGUUUUUAAAGUAACAUCAGCUUUGUUUAUGAGGAAUUGUAAGUAUGGCUGGAACACGUCCUUGGCCAAUCAAACUGUUUGGAUGAAAAUACCUGUUGUUUUACAGUUUCCUUUACCUCGCCUUGCUAAAAGAAUAUACAUGCAGAAAAUAUAAGACAGACCGGGUGUGUUCCCUUGGUCACUGACCCAAAUAAAAAGCCAUCGUUCACAAUUCUUUUAUGAGGACGAUUAGGCAGUGCAGACAUACAGGUUAACCUUGAGACCUGACAGAGGCACUGAGGGCCCAAUUAAGAUAUUUGAGAUGCAAUAUAAACAAAUACUGAACAAAUUGGACUUCAGGCAACAAAUAAAUUCUGGAGUUUUUAACAAGGUGGGCUUUAUUCUACAGAACAGGCUGUUUGGAAAUGGUUGGGAAGUGGUGAUUUUAAAACUGUAAAGGUACCAGUAAGCAGGAGCAGAUGGGGACAGCGGGCAAGCUUCUUGUGGUAAAGCCCUCAAUUGCUCUGUGUAAAUGUCCAACACGUGCUUUUGUUAUUCGGCUGUCUUUACUGUUCCCUGUAAAUUUGGAAUUGUGAAGGUCGUCAUCACGGUAAAAUGCAGAAUGCAAGUACCAAGGAGAUGGUGUCAUGAACAAACAAUGAUUUGAGCAAGCAGGGAUGAAUUAAAAGUAUUCAAUCUCAUUACUUUAAUCAAAACCAUCUGAUGACAAACAAGUCAGUCAACUGCAGAGAGGGCUGAAGAGUGAACUAUCUGUUGUUGAAAGCCGACAGUGGAGGUCUGUAACACAAUGUAAUUGUCUUUUUAACUCUCUACCUUUGAAGUGAGAAAGGCAAGAAAAAAUAUGAAAACUCCCCGGAGCACUUUUACACUGUAAGGCACCAAUUAGUCAAAUCAAGAGGUACACAACUUGUUACAGUCUAUUCAGGCAUUGGCCAAUGGAAAUAUUCAGUAGGCAAAUUACAGUACAAGUUUAGUCUCAAUUAAUUAGCAUUAAUCAAUUAAUUAUUGUAGAAUGCACUAAUGAUGUUAUACAUUUAUUCAGUAACGUGAUCGGUGCUGUAACAAUGCUAGUAUGUGAUGUAUGAUGUGGACACUGCCCAUUAAAUGUCUGUGCAUGUCCCUGGUUUCGGUUUGUUAAAUACUGAAUUUGCCUCUAAGGUUUAUUUAUAUCGUAUUGAAAAUUGGUUGCUAUAGUAAUCUGUUCUUUGUUGUUGGUAAAGAUGUCCUGUGGGAGUAAAAAUACAGUUCAUUUGGUAAAUAAGGACUUUUCUAUGUCAUUUUCCUUAUCUACAAAAUGAAUGUAAAAUAUACUGUAUGCCUAUCUGCAACAAUUAUACUGUUGCCAUAAUUUCUUUAUUUCUUGUCUUGUACUGUUAGGGCUCCCUGUCUCUUCAGUGGAAAAAUCCAGAGGAGAUUUAGAGAAUUAAUGCUCUGGGGCAAUUCAGCAGCAGUUGUACCCACUUUUCUUGUAGCAUUAGCUAAAAUUCAUCAAAAUUUGAGCCUGAUAACCAGAUACCUCAAAUGCCCCUCCUCUCUAAUCACCAGGCUGUGGAUGGCUCCUUAUUUUAUUAGCAACACACAAUAUUUGCUUUACAAGAAUGAGGCAGAUAGCAGAGAAAUGGAGAAAAUAAGGGAUUUUCCAGUUCUGUCAAACUGAGAUAGCAUUCUCACAUGAGCACUGACUGAAGUUAAUAACAUAAAUUCACCGAAAGGGCUGUUUUUGAGAGUUUGGCACCUCUUAUGAGAAACAGCCAGCUCUGUGUGUGUGUGUGUGUGUGUGUGUGUGUGUGUGUGUGUGUGUGUGUGUGUGUGUGUGUUUCUGAAUGAAUAGGCACAUCUGUGUGGUCUGUGUCCUUGUGCAACCUGACGUUAACCUCCCACCGUGAGAUAGAGCAUUGGCAGAAAAGGGGUUGAUAAGGAACAAAGGGGUUAAUAGGAUCUGGGACAGGCUCUUUCAGGUCUAUAGGAACAUAGUCAUGAAAACAGACACAAAGUAUGUCACAUUAAGUGCCUUAUUUAGCCAAUUUAAAUUUAGCUUUUUAUCUUUGGCCUCUCUGUGUAAUGGAUUAUUGUGUGACAGAAACUUCAUCCCUUGUCUGGGUGCCGUGACUGAUCUGAGACUCCUGUUAAGAACCUACUGCAGAUAUCAAAUAAUGUGUAAUUCUUUGUUUUCUCUUUCUUUUUACAAAUCAAUCUAUAUCACUUUGGAAACAUGUUGAGCUUGAAAUAUUUCCCAUAACAUCAUUGUCACAUAAUCAUCUGACUUCCAUUAUUCUAUUUAUUUCCCCUGGCAGGCGAGUCUGCUGGCUGGGAGUGAUGUGUAGCCCAUGGAGCAAGCUGUAAAAGCAGAGGACAACAGCUUGGCAGAGUAAAAAGCAUGUCUCAUACUGCAGUGAUUAAAAAUAUAGAGCUACAGUAUACAGUGUAUCAAUACUGAUCAAUCUGUUGUCCACUGUUAUCAUUCUUCUGUGUCUUUUCUUUUCUUUCACUGUUAAUAGAACAAUCCAAGGAAAACCAUUGACAUUUGCUGAUUUUGACAUCAGACUGACUCCAUAAUGUUCAAAUAAUAACACUAAUCUG